CCUACGGGAGACAGCAGUGAGGAAUAUUGGUCAAUGGCCGGAAGGCUGAACCAGCCAUGCCGCGUUAAGGUCAGUGCCCUAUGGGCGUUAAACUUCUUUUGUGCGGGAGCAAUAAUGGUCACGUGUGGCCAGACGAGAGUACCGUACGAAUAAGCAUCGGCUAACUCCGUGCCAGCCGCCGCGGUAAUACGGGUGAUGCAAGCGUUAUCCGGUUUUAUUGGGUUUAAAGGGUGCGGAAGCUGUGAGGUAAGUCAGCGGUGAAAUGCCCCCGCUCAACGGGGUGAAGUGCCAUUGAUACUGCCUUGCUGGAAUGCGGAUGCCGUGGGAGGAAUGUGUGGUGUAGCGGUGAAAUGCAUAGAUAUCACACAGAACACCGAUUGCGAAGGCAUCUCACGAAUCCGCGAUUGACGCUGAUGCACGAAAGCGUGGGUAUCAAACAGGAUUAGAUACCCCUGUAGUC
This 460-nucleotide ribosomal RNA is filed under the name uncultured bacterium. RNAcentral describes it as "partial 16S ribosomal RNA". It matches the Rfam family "Bacterial small subunit ribosomal RNA", at positions 338 to 795 of the family's 1533-position model. The record is from RNAcentral.